GUUAUACUCCCUCCGUCCGAGAGUACUUGUCAUCAAAAUGGACAAAAAGGGAUGUAUCUACAACUAAAAUACAUCUAGAUACAUCCCCUUUUAUUCAUUUUGAUGACAAGUAUUUCCGGACGGAGGGAGUACCAG
Molecule: non-coding RNA, 135 nt
Organism: Triticum aestivum (bread wheat)
Lineage: Eukaryota; Viridiplantae; Streptophyta; Magnoliopsida; Poales; Poaceae
Source: Rfam